This 516-nucleotide ribosomal RNA is filed under the name uncultured bacterium. RNAcentral describes it as "bacterial SSU rRNA". It matches the Rfam family "Bacterial small subunit ribosomal RNA", at positions 357 to 886 of the family's 1533-position model. The record is from RNAcentral.
GGGAAUAUUGGGCAAUGGGCGCAAGCCUGACCCAGCAACGCCGCGUGAGGGAAGAAGGCUUUCGGGUUGUAAACCUCUGUCCUUGGUGACGAAAAAAAUGACGGUAGCCAAGGAGGAAGCCCCGGCUAACUACGUGCCAGCAGCCGCGGUAAUACGUAGGGGGCGAGCGUUGUCCGGAAUUACUGGGCGUAAAGGGUGCGUAGGUGGCCUUUUAAGUUGGAUGUGAAAUACCCGGGCUUAACUUGGGGGGUGCAUCUAAUACUGGAGGGCUAGAGUGCAGGAGAGGAAAGCGGAAUUCCUAGUGUAGCGGUGAAAUGCGUAGAUAUUAGGAGGAACACCAGUGGCGAAGGCGGCUUUCUGGACUGUAACUGACACUGAGGCACGAAAGCGUGGGGAGCAAACAGGAUUAGAUACCCUGGUAGUCCACGCGGUAAACGAUGAAUACUAGGUGUAGGGGGUAUCAACUCCCCCUGUGCCGGAGCUAACGCAAUAAGUAUUCCGCCUGGGGAGUACGAC